Cloeon dipterum is the source of this 1149-nucleotide long non-coding RNA. RefSeq lists it as uncharacterized. The transcript is spliced from 3 exons. Lineage: Eukaryota; Metazoa; Arthropoda; Insecta; Ephemeroptera; Baetidae. The record is from RefSeq and is a predicted model, not a curated record.
CGAAAAGGAUUAACACCACGAUUUGUGGAAAAAAGCUCAAUUACGGGGCACUUGGUAUGGGGUCCGCCUUUGAUUUUGGACUAAUGGACUGCAGCAUCACCGGUCGGGAAAAGAUGCAUUGGCUGCCGAUGGAUUACAACGAGGUCCGCUGCAUCAUUGAAGGCUUGCCGGAAAACAUACAAAAGCUGGGAAAACUUCGCGUGAUGGUGUAUAAAAGUGCAUGCAGCAAAGAGUUCUUUUUCUGCGCCACGGACAACCCCCGUUCGCUGCGAGGAUCAUUUCUGGCCGCGGAGCUCAACAAAACCCACCCCGUAUAUCCAAACGGAACGUGCGCACAUUUCGAGUACAAAAUGCAGCAGAAGAAGGUCGUGGACAUUCGACUGGAAAUCGCAGACUGUAGAGUCAAAGUGUACAUGUUUUGCGAGCUCAAAGAUUGAAGGGAAAGUUUAACUAAAAAAAAUCAAAUGUUUACAUUUGAAAAUGAACACAAUUUACCCUUUGAUCUGUAAAUUUAUGACAGCUGAUGCUUUGUGUCCCAUAUUAUUUAAGCAAUUUUCAACCCCACUUAAAAUCGGUUUUCCCAACCAUUUUGAUGAUGAUUUCUUGAAACGAGCAUUAUAAUAAGUUAAAUUAUCCAAAUCGGAAAAGCUUUAAUGAAGUUCAAUUAUAAUUAUUAUACUUUAUAUUACUUUAUGACCUGCACUUCAUCAAAGAACAAUUACCCGCUUUGCAGAAUGAAUUUUGAGACAAACUCUAUUCUUGGAUAAACUUCAAUUCCACGAUUUAGUUACAGACCCAAAUAAAUAAAAUCAGUGAAUCUUUCGCAACCCUCCAAAAUCCGAAAUAGUUAAAAUGAUAUUUAAAUUUUGAAUUUAUAUAUUUAGUUAAAAAUUAUUUUCCGCAGCCUAAACUCAGAUUAAGUGGAGGUUUUUUUUAAUUUUAAGAAAUAUGCCUUUUGGAGAUAAAAUAAACGCAGCAGCAUCCAACUUUCACCAUCGCAUCAAUGCAAUUUAGAGAACCUUUUCCAUCAUUGCGCAGUUUUAUAUAUUAAUCACAAUUUCAUACAGGGUUGAGGCGCAUUUUACGUGUACUGCAUUGCAUGCAUUAUAUUUUAAAUUGUAUUGUGGGUUUGUGAGUCGAGGAGCCCAG